RNAcentral lists this long non-coding RNA (1124 nucleotides) under Urocitellus parryii (Arctic ground squirrel). RNAcentral describes it as "lncRNA (ENSUPAG00010019857.1)". The record is from RNAcentral. Lineage: Eukaryota; Metazoa; Chordata; Mammalia; Rodentia; Sciuridae.
UCUUCCCUGUUUCAGUGUCACCACCAUUAUUUGCAAUAAUUCUCAAUCUCCACUCUAGCAUCCUCAGCUAGAUAAUGGUACCUUUAAUUAUGACUGAAAUACCAAGAGUUUUUGUAACUUGACUUACAGGGCAAUUGCCUCCUCUGAAACAAAAAGUGUGGCACUAAUUUUUUUUUUUUUUUGUAUGUUGAACCUGGUUAUUUCCCUCAGAGUUUCAUUUCCACUCUCUUCUAGCUAUAUUGCAGUACACAUUACAAGGAGAGAGUUUUAAAAAUCCAAUUGGUGGGAAACAUCACUUUCUUAAUGGAAGCCUGUACUGACUCCACUAAGUAAAAUGUGAACACAACUUCUAAGUUCCUCUGUGUUUCAUCAUUCAAAUUUCUCCCAAGUUUUACUUAGAGAGUGCUCCUUUUUAACCAUUUUAUGCAGAUUAUUCAAGGAUGCUUCUGACCUACCACUUUGAGAUAUUAGGCUCUUACUAAUAUUAUUUAUGAAGAAUGCGACUUCUCUUGCUAUCUAACUGCAGUGCUUUGCUUUUUAUUUGCUUUGCUACUUGCCAAAUUGAGAAAGCAAUACCAAGAUGCCAGAAGAGUAUAUUGAUCACCACCAUUUCUUACCUCAAGUUUGAGAGCACMUGGGAGAAAAGCUAGUCCAGAAAUCUAAGGAGCAUCUUUUCUCCUCCAAGGCUCCAGCAGUGUCCUCUUUUUCUGACUGUGGUACUCUGUUUUGCAAGCAUGUUUUCUCCUUGCUACCCCUUUUCCUAGUCCUACAAUCUUCCCCCUAGAGCUGAUGAAGCACUUACAUUUUGACCUGCAGGAUCCCUGUGGACUGCAGAGUUGAGCCCUGCCAUCCAGACUGCCUUUCUGCUUCAUUUUGCUCCUGACCUAAACCCCCCUGCUAUUCCAGGCCUGGCCUCUCAUGACCAGAGACUGCUGACUCAUCCUGGCCUGUGCCAAGCUGUGCAGUCGCUUAGUGAUGUGGACAGGAGUCGAAGGACUAGAAUGAGAUCACUGAACUCAUUUCACUUGUUGCUUACGGUACAGUCCAGCAUGAGCUGGAAAUGUAGGAACCUCAGCCUCCCGAGCAGAAAGACACUCUGGAACACUGUGAACUCGACACACUAA